Molecule: long non-coding RNA, 311 nt
Filed under: Homo sapiens (human)
Lineage: Eukaryota; Metazoa; Chordata; Mammalia; Primates; Hominidae
Description: HSALNT0367779
Source: RNAcentral
AAACACAUGCACAGAGGCAGCAGCGAUCUGAAUUCAACCGUGAUGGGGUUCGGCACAAGAGCCUGACUCAACUCUUAAUUUCACUUUUCACCUGACAGAGCUGUUAAGCUGAAAUCCAGCCACUCUGCUAUAGAAAGGCCAAGAAACUUGGAAAGCCCAAGUGUGAAUGCUGCAAUAAACAGCUCCAGUUGAGCAACCAGUCAACAGAUGGCAUCAGUGCCAGCCAUGAAAAAGACAUCUGGUGGUCACUAAGAACAGGAAGGAGGUGGCACACCCAAAGAGAACUAUCAUGGAGUCUAAGCACAGCUUAG